RNAcentral lists this long non-coding RNA (776 nucleotides) under Homo sapiens (human). Its description in RNAcentral is "HSALNT0280249". The record is from RNAcentral. Lineage: Eukaryota; Metazoa; Chordata; Mammalia; Primates; Hominidae.
CCCCUUUUACGUUUAUUUCAUUACGAUCUCCACACAAGGGCGCGGUGUCCCUCCCUGGAGGGCCUGGCCCGCUGCAGGGGUACGAUUCCUGUGACUCAGCUUUCAGUCCAGUGGCGGGCAUGCGCCCCACCCCGGGCCUCUUUGUCUUCCUCGCUGGCGUUCCUCUUGCCUUGGGUGGGACGUAAAGCACCCUUAAGUGAUUUUAAAAGAGAAAGUUUCAUCACUGAAACAUCCAUAUUGUUUCAUCAGCAUAAUUUUUGUGAGCACUCAACAGUAGUAUUUGCUGGGUGUAAGGUAAUUUGGAGUUUAUAGGGUAAAACACCUCCCUCUUAGCAAAAUAAGUCAAGCUCAAGCUCUGCCAUUGACUUUACUGCCGGACAAUGAGGAAGUUCUUUACCUUCCUCUUCCUUAUUUUCAUAAAUUUUAAAAGUGAUGGCUAAGGAGGCCAGCGUUGAAUUCCAAAGACUACAGUUACAUUAUCUCUAAUGUCUUAAGAUGAAAUUCAAAAAUCAAAUUAUAUUUUCAAGGGAGCGUUUCCAGCACUAGGACAUCGCUGAAGUGCAUCUGCAUCUGGAAAUAUAAGAGAUUCGGGUAGAGGGAAGCAGUUUUCAAAAUGGCACCUGACUCUGUGAAUACCAGUGACCCACUUGCUACUGAAAAUUAGUUACAAAUACCAUGCCACGCGCCUGCAAAUGGCGUGUGAAAGGAAAAAGACUCGCCGGUUAUAAAGAGGCCUAGCUGUGAUUAUUUCUAAGAGACAAGGCAGUGUGCAAAAU